CCCCGUCCUUAGUUGCUACCAUUUAGUUGAGCACUCUAAGGAGACUGCCGGUGAUAAGCCGCGAGGAAGGUGGGGAUGACGUCAAGUCCUCAUGGCCCUUACGGGCUGGGCUACACACGUGCUACAAUGGCGGUGACAAUGGGAAGCGAAAGGGCAACCUCUAGCAAAUCUCAAAAAGCCGUCUCAGUUCGGAUUGGGCUCUGCAACUCGAGCCCAUGAAGUUGGAAUCGCUAGUAAUCGUGGAUCAACAUGCCACGGUGAAUACGUUCCCGGGCCUUGUACACACCGCCCGUCACACCAUGGGAGUUGGUUUUACCUGAAGACGGUGCGCUAACCGCAAGGACGCACCCUGCUACGGUAGGGUCUAGCGAGUGGGGUGAAGUCGUAACUAGGUAGCCGUAGGGGAACCUGCAGGACGGGG
RNAcentral lists this ribosomal RNA (421 nucleotides) under Bradyrhizobium sp. 1253. RNAcentral describes it as "bacterial SSU rRNA". It matches the Rfam family "Bacterial small subunit ribosomal RNA", at positions 1103 to 1521 of the family's 1533-position model. Lineage: Bacteria; Pseudomonadati; Pseudomonadota; Alphaproteobacteria; Hyphomicrobiales; Nitrobacteraceae. The record is from RNAcentral.